This 337-nucleotide ribosomal RNA is filed under the name uncultured Pseudomonas sp. RNAcentral describes it as "bacterial SSU rRNA". It matches the Rfam family "Bacterial small subunit ribosomal RNA", at positions 1034 to 1369 of the family's 1533-position model. The record is from RNAcentral. Lineage: Bacteria; Pseudomonadati; Pseudomonadota; Gammaproteobacteria; Pseudomonadales; Pseudomonadaceae.
ACAGGUGCUGCAUGGCUGUCGUCACCUCGUGUCGUGAGAUGUUGGGUUAAGUCCCGCAACGAGCGCAACCCUUGUCCUUAUUUGCCAGCAAGUUAUGUUGGGAACUCUAAGGAGACUGCCGGUGACAAACCGGAGGAAGGUGGGGAAGACGUCAAGUCAUCAUGGCCCUUACGGGCGGGGCUACACACGUGCUACAAUGGGCGGUACAAAGGUUUGCAAACCCGAGAGGGGGAGCAAAUCCCAAAAAGCCGCUCUCAUUCCAGUUCGAACUCUGCAUCUCCCCCGCGUGAAGUCAAAAUCUCUAGUAAUCGUAAAUCAAAAUGUCCCGGUAAAUACU